Pantherophis guttatus is the source of this 409-nucleotide long non-coding RNA. RefSeq lists it as uncharacterized. Lineage: Eukaryota; Metazoa; Chordata; Lepidosauria; Squamata; Colubridae. The record is from RefSeq and is a predicted model, not a curated record.
AGUGACAUGAUCAGAUGGCCCAUAUGAUCCUAAUAGAUACAUUUAGUCCAAGUGGCAGUAUAUUUCAAUUCAGAUCAAAUAAAGAAAGAGGACCAACCCCUCAAAUCAAGAAAUCAAAUAAAGGUUGAUGAUUUUGUUGACUUCUCUCAAACAUCAGCUAGUGAUGUAAACAGAUGAUAAAUUUGGAAAGAUGUCUAUGCUUGGCAAGGUUAAGCAAUGGAAAAGAACAUGACAGUCGUAAAGUAGAUCAUGAGACUUUGUUCAAACAUUUUCCAAUGAAUGUAUGUUUUUAGCUAUUUUUGUUUCAAAAAUAUGUAUGUUAAUAGCCCCAACAAUGUAAUUAGCAAAUGAUAAUGGCAUUUUUCAGAAAUACAAAGUUGGAAAUGCAAACAUAAAAGGCUUGUUCCCA